This 47-nucleotide ribosomal RNA is filed under the name Penicillium citrinum. RNAcentral's name for it is "partial 28S ribosomal RNA". Lineage: Eukaryota; Fungi; Ascomycota; Eurotiomycetes; Eurotiales; Aspergillaceae. The record is from RNAcentral.
GGUAGGGAUACCCGCUGAACUUAAGCAUAUCAAUAGACGGGAAGGAA